GAUGAACGCUGGCGGCGUGCCUAAUACAUGCAAGUCGAGCGAACGGACGAGAAGCUUGCUUCUCUGAUGUUAGCGGCGGACGGGUGAGUAAUACGUGGAUAACCUACCUAUAAGACUGGGAUAACUUCGGGAAACCGGAGCUAAUACCGGAUGAUAUUUUGAACCGCAUGGUUCAAAAGUGAAAGACGGUCUUGCUGUCACUUAUAGAUGGAUCCGCGCUGCAUUAGCUAGUUGGUAAGGUAACGGCUUACCAAGGCAACGAUGCAUAGCCGACCUGAGAGGGUGAUCGGCCACACUGGAACUGAGACGCGGUCCAGACUCCUACGGGAGGCAGCGUAGGGAAUCUUCCGCAAUGGGCGAAAGCCUGACGGAGCAACGCCGCGUGAGUGAUGAAGGUCUUCGGAUCGUAAAACUCUGUUAUUAGGGAAGAACAUAUGUGUAAGUAACUGUGCACAUCUUGACGGUACCUAAUCAGAAAGCCACGGCUAACUACGUG
Molecule: ribosomal RNA, 496 nt
Filed under: uncultured bacterium
Lineage: Bacteria
Description: partial 16S ribosomal RNA
Rfam family: Bacterial small subunit ribosomal RNA
Source: RNAcentral